Molecule: unclassified non-coding RNA, 1418 nt
Filed under: Priapulus caudatus
Lineage: Eukaryota; Metazoa; Priapulida; Priapulimorpha; Priapulimorphida; Priapulidae
Description: dEP domain-containing mTOR-interacting protein-like, transcript variant X3
Source: RNAcentral
GCAUGGCUUGCCAAAUUAAUAUUGUUGAUGAGCAGCAUGAAAAUCAGUAUGUAAAUACCAUGGACGACAAUGUAUUUGAAAAGAAUCAUAUGGACAUAUAUAUCGCUGGAGAGCAGUUAAGGGCUAGCAUGCACGCCGAGGGCAGUCUCAUCGCACAGCGGCAGCAACAGACAAUCACAUUCAACGUGUGCUUCGUUGGAUUCGAAACCGUCGAGUGGCUGGUGAAAGCGCGGCACGUAGACUCGCGACGCUCAGGCGUUAAGCUGCUGCGCAUCCUUGGUGACAACAACAUCAUCCACCACGUGACAGAUCAACAGUCAUUUUUCGACGACAACAACUUGUACCGGUUUCGAAGAGACGACGCAACAUUUUCAAAAUUUGAUGAUUUGAGUGUUUUCUUCAAAGGACUUAAGCUAUACAGCAGGUUGGUUACGGAGCCUAAUCGUGUGUUGAGGGUGCAUGAGGAGAACGGUGUUAGCUAUGAGAACUCGUUCUCUGGACAAGGCCUGCUAGACUGGAUGGUAAUCGAGCACAUGGUGAUGAACCGACAUCAAGCUCUAACCGACUGCAGGUCUCUCCUCGCUAGUAAUGUCAUACACCACGUUACACAUCAGCAUCAUCUAAAGGACGACAACCUCCUGUAUCAAUUUAGCGUCAACCUGAAGAAACAUAUACGCCACUCGGACAUUGUGAGCCGGUAUUCACUGAGAGGCACGCUGAAUUUUAAGGAGCUGGACGGCGCAUCUGAGACUAGAACCACAGAGUCAACGCUGAGGAAAAUCUCACAGAUUUCUUUGGGCAGCUUCUUAUUUAGCUCAGACAAUGGGAAUGAGCCUGCUGCGAGGAAAAACAGCCAGAGUCCUGACAGUAGGCAGACAAGAAUGUUUCCCUCUCCGGAGAGGACCCAAUCCGUGCCUCCCCAGAGGAGAACUCGCAAGUUGUCCCUCCCCGAGAAUCUGGUUGCCCCGGAGGGAGAGAGACGGAGAAAAAUAUCCGCUAUGCCGUCCUUUCCGUUCUUCAAUUAUCAACAAGCGGGUUCUGCGAGGUUUGCAUUUCCAAAAUCAGCAUCGGCAAGGAACAUUGAGUGCUAUAGCUCAUGCGGUGAUGAAAGUGAUGGUGAUGAUUACAGCACUGAUGAUACUGAAGAGGGCGAGACCGACAAGUUUCCUAGCACUGUACCAACAAGAAAAGCCAGGACCAAAGGCUCUGUUUUGCCAAAAUAUGAUUAUCAGCGACUCUGUAGGAUAUGGCUUUGUGAUCCGUGGUGAUGGGCCUACGUUUGUGCAGACGGUUGACCCAAAGGGACCUGGAUAUGAAGCUGGCUUGAGGGUCAAGCAGUACCUUUACGAAGUGAACGGAGAGAAGGUUGUGCAGCUGCCCCACCAGCAAGUAGCGAAGCAGGUCAUCAACAGUUCGAU